Molecule: non-coding RNA, 168 nt
Filed under: bovine gut metagenome
Description: malK-I RNA
Rfam family: malK-I RNA
Source: RNAcentral
UGCGUGUGAUCACUCCACGAUCUGAUCACUCGUUCUUAAAGAAAGGAGGAUCGUUCCGCCGGCUCGCGGUGCGGCAGUGUGGAGACCUGUCGUAAUGCGGCGCGCUCCCAGCGGGCGGCUGCGAGGUAUCCGGGAGGAGUCCCGGCUAUCAGAGCCUGACAAUAUGUC